RNAcentral lists this ribosomal RNA (253 nucleotides) under uncultured bacterium. RNAcentral's name for it is "partial 16S ribosomal RNA". It matches the Rfam family "Bacterial small subunit ribosomal RNA", at positions 524 to 776 of the family's 1533-position model. The record is from RNAcentral.
UACGAAGGGUGCUAGCGUUGCUCGGAAUGACUGGGCGUAAAGGGCGCGUAGGCGGAUAUUACAGUCGGGCGUGAAAUUCCUGGGAUCAACCUGGGGGCUGCGUUCGAUACGUGAUGUCUUGAGUUCGGAAGAGGGUCGUGGAAUUCCCAGUGUAGAGGUGAAAUUCGUAGAUAUUGGGAAGAACACCGGUGGCGAAGGCGGCGACCUGGUCCGAUACUGACGCUGAGGCGCGAAAGCGUGGGGAGCAAACAGG